CUUGGCGACCAUAGCGUUGUGGACCCACCUGAUCCCAUGCCGAACUCAGUAGUGAAACGCAACAGCGCCGAUGGUAGUGUGGGGUCUCCCCAUGUGAGAGUAGGACAUCGCCAGGC
Enterovibrio coralii is the source of this 116-nucleotide ribosomal RNA. The record is from Rfam. Lineage: Bacteria; Pseudomonadati; Pseudomonadota; Gammaproteobacteria; Vibrionales; Vibrionaceae.